CUGAGCCUACGGGGCGCAGCAGUGGGGGAUAUUGCACAAUGGGGGAAACCCUGAUGCAGCGACGCCGCGUGGGUGAAGAAGCGCCUCGGCGCGUAAAGCCCUGUCAGCAGGGAAGAAAAUGACGGUACCUGAAGAAGAAGCCCCGGCUAACUACGUGCCAGCAGCCGCGGUAAUACGUAGGGGGCAAGCGUUAUCCGGAUUUACUGGGUGUAACGGGGGCGCAGACGGCGAUGCAAGCCAGGAGUGAAAGCCCGGGGCCCAACCCCGGGACUGCUCUUGGAACUGCGUGGCUCGAGUCCA
RNAcentral lists this ribosomal RNA (300 nucleotides) under uncultured bacterium. Its description in RNAcentral is "bacterial SSU rRNA". It matches the Rfam family "Bacterial small subunit ribosomal RNA", at positions 332 to 650 of the family's 1533-position model. The record is from RNAcentral.